RNAcentral lists this ribosomal RNA (119 nucleotides) under Pteropus alecto (black flying fox). Lineage: Eukaryota; Metazoa; Chordata; Mammalia; Chiroptera; Pteropodidae. The record is from RNAcentral.
AGCUACAGCCAUGCCACCCUGAACAAGCCCGAUCCUGUCUGACUUCAGAAGCUAAGCAGGGUCAGGCCUGGUUAGUACUUGGAUGGGAGACCACCUAGGAAGACCAGGUGCUGUAGGCA